GCCUGAGUCUGAGCCUGGUUCCUCUAAUUAGCCACUUCCUGAGGUGGUGGAUUGAAGAGUAAAGGUGUGUUAAUUUCCUAGAAAGGCGAGGAGACAAAGAGGAAGGAUUUCUGAAGGAUUUCAGAAGGAUUUCUGGUGCAGAGGACCAACCUGCGCGUGGCGGUUGCCAUAGAAUCCUGACGCUAUUGUGGCGACUGUGACGACACUCUAAAGGAGACCGACUUGCUGUGGUUCCAGAGUAGGUUCCACCAACAGAAUCCAGACAGCUCUUUCUCUGGUGACUGAGCUCAUAUCAGAUUUCUGAAGAAGACAGUUUCUGAGGAUGUGGGUCAUGAAGGCUACUGAAGCUUCUGCUGUGGAUUCGAAGGGCAGCAGUGCUCAGGAGACCCCUGACACUUCCAUUCCCGGCCUGCUCCAUUGGAAGUGUCAUCUCAGAUGAUCCUUAAAUUUACACAUUCUGAGGCCUAUCACAGAGUUAUCAGAUAGAGCAACUAAAAAUAUAUGAUGUUCAGGUGAAAGGUGUCAUAUUCUACUACUUGGGCCUUAUUCAGUGGAAAUUACUUCAGAAGAGAAAGCAUUCUCUAGCUGAACAUUCUCUGUGCAAAGUGUGUAAGGUGAUUGUAACUGGCUACCUGUAGCUAUUGAGCAAAUGCAUCAUGGUCCAGAAGUGAAGGAAAGGAAUUCUCAGCAUGGCAUCCUUCAUUCCAUCCUGAAGAAUGACUUCUAAAAAAGAAAUUGUUGGUACAAAGGGUGUGCACCUUUGGAGCCCUCUAUUAAACAUCUGAGAAGGGUGUGGAUGCUGAAUGCCAGAACCAGGAGCUCAUAGAGAAGAACCAAGUGUGGUGUGGAGUCUGCUAGACAGGCUACUGGAACAAGAGUGAACAGACCAUGGGGACACUAUAGAGCAGUGGGUCCUGAAUUCUAUUUGUGGAUCUAGACUCUAGACAUUGCUGCAGUUGGAAGAUGUGGAAGUGAUCACAUGUACUGGCUCACAUGAUUUUGGAGGGUAGAAUUCCCAUAUCUGCAGCAUGGGACUGACAGACUGUACACAAGGGGAGAUCCAGUGCUGCAGUUCAAGUCUGAAGGCCAUCUGCUUUUCUGAUUUCCUUCUUACUUGAAGGUGGCGGCCUGAAGAGUGAAGGUGUUUUGACUUCAGAGAAAGAAAGGGGACUGAGAGGAGGGCCGUGCAGAGGCAUUUCCGAUGUGGAGGACGAACCUUUGCAACCCAGUUGCCAUAGAAACCUGACGUCAUUAUGGUGACUGUGACAACAUUCUAAAGGAGACCUACUUGCGCUGGUUGGAGAGCAGGACUGAGCCUCCAAAUAUUUGGACUCUGGCUAGGGUGUGGGUGCACUGCAGUGGGAGCUGAGCCUCACUGUGGUGUGGGGAGAUGAAGGGAUUCCAGACCCAAGUCACCUGGUUCCCGCUCUGGAACUCGGUGCCCCGCUGACUCAAGAGGGAGAGAGAUGUGGGACCCUCCUGGCCCCAGGCAGCAUGAUGUCCUGUGUGGUUAUUGAGGGAUCCUUCAUGCUGGUAUGAAUUUAGACCACUUCUUAUUCCUCUUCAUAUUUGUUGGUAGAGGAAGAGAAAUGAGUAAAAGAGAAGGAAGAGAAGCCCAUUGCACCUUCUGGUUGUUGGGAUCACUUCCCAGUAGUACCAGUGCCAUUGGUCACUGACCCAGUGCCUAGCAUGGCACCAGGCACACAGUUACUCUGAGGCACAGUGACUUGUGGUUCUGUUUCUCCCUGGGAAGCUCCUGGUUGGACUCAUAUCAAGUGUCUGAAGGAUGCAGUUUCUGAGGAUCUGAGUGGUGAUGGCUGCUGAAGCUUCUACUCCACAUCUGAAUGCUGCAGUGCUCAGGAGACCCCCACACUUCCACCCCUGGUGGGAUAUGAGUCCUGGUUCAAGUGAGUUCACAGAUCUAAACAUAAACCUGUUGUAUGUUCACAAAAUCAUCUAAAAGUAAACAAGCACUUUUGACAAUGUUGUUGGAGAAUAAAAUGGAGUUUUUGUCCCCCCAUUGGCAGUUUAUAUGCAUUGUUGUAGCCCGUGAGGCUCAUCUUAAAGAUGGCUUCUUAGUGUAAAAGCAAUUAAUACUGCAACUUGUGGUAGUAACUUGAUAUUUAAUGUAUAUUCUCAAUAAUUUUCAUAGUUUUUGAUUGUACAAAUAAAAAAAGCUGGUUAUUAUCAAAAUCUUCAGAUGGGUAUUGAAAUAUGCUGUUUUUCCACCUCUUUAUCUGUUAUGAAAUGGAUUUUGUAGAAACCAAUAAUUAUCCAAGGAUUAGUUUAAAAUGUGAUUAAUUUUUACUAUUUUCAAAAAUAAUAAUUAUAAUAGAAUUCAUCCUAUUGUGACUUAGAGCCUUGUUCUCUAAAAUAACUACAUAUCCUGGUUAUUUUAUCACUUGUAACAUUUCAGUUUUGUCUUUCAGAAAGAAAUGUGCAUCAGUUUUCCCUUUUUAGAUAGACCUCAUUGUAAGUGAUUGUUUCUAUUUUGGUCAUAUACUGUGUGAACAACUAGACAAGACAUAGUGUCUGUCAAAAUGACUGGAUCCAUUCCAAGUGUUCUGAGGAUUCUCCACACUGCUUUCCAGAGAAGCUGCACCAAUUUGUGUGUCCACCAGCAGUGUAAAAGUGUGCCUUUUUCCCCACAUUCAU
This is a long non-coding RNA of Sciurus carolinensis (gray squirrel), 2655 nucleotides long. RefSeq lists it as uncharacterized. Lineage: Eukaryota; Metazoa; Chordata; Mammalia; Rodentia; Sciuridae. The transcript is spliced from 9 exons. The record is from RefSeq and is a predicted model, not a curated record.